Pelobates cultripes (western spadefoot toad) is the source of this 123-nucleotide non-coding RNA. NCBI's taxonomy places the organism in Eukaryota, Metazoa, Chordata, Amphibia, Anura, Pelobatidae. The record is from the annotation of a GenBank genome assembly.
GGAAGGGGGUGACACAGUGACAGAGUGAGGGAGGGGGUGACUAGUGACAGAGUGAAGGAGGUGGUGACUGUCAAUAGUCACCCCCUUCCCUCCCUCACUCUGUCACUAGUCACCCCUCCCUCU